Molecule: signal recognition particle RNA, 266 nt
Filed under: Lodderomyces parapsilosis CDC317
Lineage: Eukaryota; Fungi; Ascomycota; Pichiomycetes; Serinales; Debaryomycetaceae
Description: Candida parapsilosis CDC317 Fungal signal recognition particle RNA
Rfam family: Fungal signal recognition particle RNA
Source: Rfam by way of RNAcentral
UGGCUGUGAUGGCCCUUGGCGGAAGUGCAUUUAUUGCGCACUUGGUGUUGUGAACAUUUUGCUUUCGUAGUGUCCAGUUCGAUCCUCGCGGUUUGGGUACAGUACUGCUUGAGGAAUCAGUAUGUCAUACCCUGGUAAUUAAUAGCACCACCACUGGAGGGAAGCAAUUCAGCACAGUAAUGCUAUCCGUGACGGAGGCGGUACUGGAUGGCACAACGUUGGUUAGUUGACAAUACUAGAGUGACUUAGUGUUACGACUCUAACUU